Molecule: small RNA, 297 nt
Filed under: Castor canadensis (American beaver)
Lineage: Eukaryota; Metazoa; Chordata; Mammalia; Rodentia; Castoridae
Description: 7SK RNA (ENSCCNG00000019149.1)
Rfam family: 7SK RNA (bases 1-187)
About the family: 7SK was discovered as an abundant small nuclear RNA in the mid-70s but a possible function has only recently been suggested.
Source: RNAcentral
GGAUGUGAGGAUGAUCUGGCUAUGACAUCUGUCACCCCAUUGGAUCACCAGGGUUGAUUCAACUGAUUUGACUAGCUAGGUGGGUGUCUCCUUCCUCCCACACCCCUCCAUAUGUCCCUCCCAAAGCAACAUGGUCUGGCAAAGAGAACAACCUUUUCUCAUAGUGGAGAACAAUUCCUUUUUUUUUUUUCCUGCAUCCUCACCAGCGUUUGUUGUUCCUUGUUUCUUUCUUUGUUGGAGAGGGGCAGCACUGGGAAUUGAACUCAGAGCCUCAUGCUUGCAAGGCAGGCACUCUUA